Molecule: long non-coding RNA, 393 nt
Filed under: Brassica napus (rape)
Lineage: Eukaryota; Viridiplantae; Streptophyta; Magnoliopsida; Brassicales; Brassicaceae
Description: long non-coding RNA (BNAP_LNC001320)
Source: RNAcentral
GAUUAAAGUGCUAGCCUAGGGUGGUUUAUCAGGUGUUAAACAAGUGUAAGCCAAACAAUUAUUCAAGUUCAAUUAAGAGAAAGUCUAAAACUUGGAUCACUCAAAUAGAACAGUCCACUGUCGUGGUACUGCUCCAUAUGCUAAUCGAUUUUGAUACCUAAACUCUUGUUUGGAUCAAGACGCGACAUCAAGCAAUACAGAUCAAGUCCGAUAUGUUCACAAAACAUCAUAAUAUCUACUUUCGCUGAUUAUGGAUGCAAUGCUCAUUCAUAACAGAUCUAGCAAACUAUUAUACUAUUAAUGAACAGGUUAAACCUAUGAUCUAACAUUAAACGGCCAGUUUAAUACAAGCAUUAAGAACAGUUAUGAAUGAAGACAAUCAAUGGUUUCACU